Molecule: ribosomal RNA, 429 nt
Filed under: Actinomycetes bacterium
Lineage: Bacteria; Bacillati; Actinomycetota; Actinomycetes
Description: Actinobacteria bacterium partial 16S ribosomal RNA
Rfam family: Bacterial small subunit ribosomal RNA
Source: RNAcentral
UAGGGAAUCUUCCGCAAUGGGCGAAAGCCUGACGGAGCAACGCCGCGUGAGUGAUGAAGGUCUUCGGAUCGUAAAACUCUGUUAUUAGGGAAGAACAAAUGUGUAAGUAACUAUGCACGCCUUGACGGUACCUAAUCAGAAAGCCACGGCUAACUACGUGCCAGCAGCCGCGGUAAUACGUAGGUGGCAAGCGUUAUCCGGAAUUAUUGGGCGUAAAGCGCGCGUAGGCGGUUUUUUAAGUCUGAUGUGAAAGUCCACGGCUCAACCGUGGGAGGUCAUUGGAAACUGGGAAACUUGAGUGCAGAAGAGGAAAGUGGAAUUCCAUGUGUAGCGGUGAAAUGCGCAGAGAUAUGGAGGAACACCAGUGGCCAAGGCGAGUUUCUGGUCUGUAACUGACGCUGAUGUGCGAAAGCGUGGGGAUCAAACAGG